GCUCGGUUAGCUCAGUUGGUUAGAGCGUCGUACUAAUAUUAUAAGAGAUUAUAACAUUGGUGAUGCGAAGGUCAUGAGUUCGACCCUCAUACUGAGCA
RNAcentral lists this transfer RNA (98 nucleotides) under Xylaria longipes. RNAcentral's name for it is "tRNA-Ile". It matches the Rfam family "tRNA". Rfam says of the family: Transfer RNA (tRNA) molecules are approximately 80 nucleotides in length. Their secondary structure includes four short double-helical elements and three loops (D, anti-codon, and T loops). The record is from RNAcentral. Lineage: Eukaryota; Fungi; Ascomycota; Sordariomycetes; Xylariales; Xylariaceae.